AACGCACAUUGCGCCCCUUGGUAUUCCAUGGGGCAUGCCUGUUCGAGCGUCAUUUGUACCUUCAAGCUCUGCUUGGUGUUGGGUGUUUGUCCCGCCUCUGUGCGUGGACUCGCCUUAAAGCAAUUGGCAGCCGACGUAUUGUUUCGGAGCGCAGCACAAAUUGCGCUUUGUAGCUAUUACGACAGCAUCCAUCAAGCCUUUUUUCACGCUUGACCUCGGAUCAGGUAGGGAUACCCGCUGAACUUAA
RNAcentral lists this unclassified non-coding RNA (247 nucleotides) under uncultured fungus. RNAcentral's name for it is "sequence contains ITS2". The record is from RNAcentral. Lineage: Eukaryota; Fungi.